This 517-nucleotide ribosomal RNA is filed under the name uncultured Bacteroidota bacterium. Its description in RNAcentral is "bacterial SSU rRNA". It matches the Rfam family "Bacterial small subunit ribosomal RNA", at positions 9 to 523 of the family's 1533-position model. The record is from RNAcentral. Lineage: Bacteria; Pseudomonadati; Bacteroidota.
GAGUUUGAUCCUGGCUCAGGAUGAACGCUAGCGGGAGGCUUAACACAUGCAAGUCGAGCGGCAGCACGGACUUCGGUCUGGUGGCGAGCGGCGCACGGGUGCGUAACGCGUAUGCAACCUGCCUUAUACAGGGGGAUAGCCCAUGGAAACGUGGAUUAAUACCCCAUAACAUUAUGAAUUCGCAUGGAUUUAUAAUUAAAAUUCCGAUGGUAUAAGAUGGGCAUGCGUCUGAUUAGCUAGUUGGUGAGGUAACGGCUCACCAAGGCGACGAUCAGUAGGGGUUCUGAGAGGAUUAUCCCCCACACUGGUACUGAGACACGGACCAGACUCCUACGGGAGGCAGCAGUGAGGAAUAUUGGUCAAUGGGCGCGAGCCUGAACCAGCCAUCCCGCGUGCAGGAUGACGGCCCUAUGGGUUGUAAACUGCUUUUCUACGCCAAGAAACGGCCCUACGUGUAGGGCACUGACGGUAGCGUAGGAAUAAGCAUCGGCUAACUCCGUGCCAGCAGCCGCGGUAC